GGCGCCAUAGCCAAGUGGUAAGGCAGAGGUCUGCAAAACCUCUAUUCCCCAGUUCAAAUCUGGGUGGCGCCU
Molecule: transfer RNA, 72 nt
Filed under: Acidaminobacter hydrogenoformans DSM 2784
Lineage: Bacteria; Bacillati; Bacillota; Clostridia; Peptostreptococcales; Acidaminobacteraceae
Also listed under: 1 other name
Rfam family: tRNA
About the family: Transfer RNA (tRNA) molecules are approximately 80 nucleotides in length.
Source: Rfam by way of RNAcentral